GUAGGUGGCAAGCGUUGUCCGGAAUUAUUGGGCGUAAAGCGCGCGCAGGCGGUUCUUUAAGUCUGAUGUGAAAGCCCACGGGCUCAACCGUGGAGGGUCAUUGGAAACUGGAGAACUUGAGUACAGAAGAGGGAAGCGGAAUUCCACGUGUAGCGGUGAAAUGCGUAGAGAUGUGGAGGAACACCAGUGGCGAAGGCGGCUUUCUGGUCUGUAACUGACGCUGAGGCGCGAAAGCGUGGGGAGCAAACAGGAUUAGAUACCCUGGUAGUCCACGCCGUAAACGAUGAGUGCUAAGUGUUAGGGGGUUUCCGCCCCUUAGUGCUGCAGCUAACGCAUUAAGCACUCCGCCUGGGGAGUACGGCCGCAAGGCUG
Molecule: ribosomal RNA, 372 nt
Filed under: uncultured organism
Description: partial 16S ribosomal RNA
Rfam family: Bacterial small subunit ribosomal RNA
Source: RNAcentral